RNAcentral lists this unclassified non-coding RNA (249 nucleotides) under Hevea brasiliensis (rubber tree). The record is from RNAcentral. Lineage: Eukaryota; Viridiplantae; Streptophyta; Magnoliopsida; Malpighiales; Euphorbiaceae.
GUCAGGAGAGGACUGGACACAACAGUUUUAAUCAAAUAUCUAAUGUCAGUAUAAACUAUUCCAUAAACUUAAAUAUCAAAUUUCAUGAAAAGGAAACAUUGUCAGCCUUCGAAGUUUGCAAUCAACAAAUCCUCCAGUCAAACCUCUAAAAUAUUUCAAUGACCCGUGCAUACCUUAACACAUUCCCAUACAAUUAAAAAAAAAAUCUUAGGAAAGAGAAGAAACACAACUCAACUCAACUCAACUCAA